Molecule: ribosomal RNA, 445 nt
Filed under: Parahaemophilus parainfluenzae
Lineage: Bacteria; Pseudomonadati; Pseudomonadota; Gammaproteobacteria; Pasteurellales; Pasteurellaceae
Description: Haemophilus parainfluenzae bacterial SSU rRNA
Rfam family: Bacterial small subunit ribosomal RNA
Source: RNAcentral
AGGCUUAACACAUGCAAGUCGAACGGUAACAUAAAGAAGCUUGCUUCUUUGAUGACGAGUGGCGGACGGGUGAGUAAUGCUUGGGAAUCUAGCUUAUGGAGGGGGAUAACUACGGGAAACUGUAGCUAAUACCGCGUAAUAUCGAGAGAUUAAAGUGUGGGACCUUCGGGCCACAUGCCAUAGGAUGAGCCCAAGUGGGAUUAGGUAGUUGGUGAGGUAAAGGCUCACCAAGCCGACGAUCUCUAGCUGGUCUGAGAGGAUGACCAGCCACACUGGGACUGAGACACGGCCCAGACUCCUACGGGAGGCAGCAGUGGGGAAUAUUGCGCAAUGGGGGCAACCCUGACGCAGCCAUGCCGCGUGAAUGAAGAAGGCCUUCGGGUUGUAAAGUUCUUUCGGUAGCGAGGAAGGCAUUUAGUUUAAUAGACUAGGUGAUUGACGUUAA